ACGGGUGAGUAACGCGUAUGCAACCUACCUUUUACCGGGGGAUAGCUCAGUGAAAACUGGAUUAAUACCCCAUAACACAGGGAUACCGCAUGGUAAUAUUUGUUAAAGCUCCGGCGGUAAAAGAUGGGCAUGCGUGACAUUAGCUAGUUGGUAGGGUAACGGCCUACCAAGGCGACGAUGUCUAAGGGGUCUGAGAGGAUGAUCCCUCACACUGGUACUGAGACACGGACCAGACUCCUACGGGAGGCAGCAGUGAGGAAUAUUGGUCAAUGGGGGCAACCCUGAACCAGCCAUGCCGCGUGAAGGAAGACGGUUCUAAGAAUUGUAAACUUCUUUUGUACGGGGGUAAAGACAGAUACGUGUAUCUGUUUGAAAGUACUGUACGAAUAAGCAUCGGCUAACUCCGUGCCAGCAGCCGCGGUAAUACGGAGGAUGCGAGCGUUAUCCGGAUUUAUUGGGUUUAAAGGGUGCGUAGGCGGAUUUAUAAGUCAGCGGUGAAAGACUGUCGCUCAACGAUAGCAUUGCCAUUGAUACUGUAGAUCUUGAGUACAUUUGAGGUAGGCGGAAUGUGUAGUGUAGCGGU
RNAcentral lists this ribosomal RNA (583 nucleotides) under uncultured bacterium. RNAcentral describes it as "bacterial SSU rRNA". It matches the Rfam family "Bacterial small subunit ribosomal RNA", at positions 102 to 682 of the family's 1533-position model. The record is from RNAcentral.